This 498-nucleotide ribosomal RNA is filed under the name uncultured bacterium. RNAcentral's name for it is "partial 16S ribosomal RNA". It matches the Rfam family "Bacterial small subunit ribosomal RNA", at positions 28 to 507 of the family's 1533-position model. The record is from RNAcentral.
GACGAACGCUGGCGGCGUGCCUAAUACAUGCAAGUCGAACGAGAGCAACCGGUGCUUGCUCUGGUCAAUCUAGUGGCGAACGGGUGAGUAACACGUGGGUAACCUGCCCAUCAGAGGGGGAUAACAUCCGGAAACGGAUGCUAAAACCGCAUAGGUCUUCGAACCGCAUGGUUUGAAGAGGAAAAGAGGCGCACGCUUCUGCUGAUGGAUGGACCCGCGGUGCAUUAGCUAGUUGGUGAGGUAACGGCUCACCAAGGCCGUGAUGCAUAGCCGACCUGAGAGGGUGAUCGGCCACAUUGGGACUGAGACACGGCCCAAACUCCUACGGGAGGCAGCAGUAGGGAAUCUGCCGCAAUGGACGCAAGUCUGACGGAGCAGCGCCGCGUGAGUGAAGAAGGUUUUCGGAUCGUAAAACUCUGUUGUUAGAGAAGAACAAGUGCUAGAGUAACUGUUAGCGCCUUGACGGUAUCUAACCAGAAAGCCACGGCUAACUACGUG